RNAcentral lists this unclassified non-coding RNA (1394 nucleotides) under Hevea brasiliensis (rubber tree). Lineage: Eukaryota; Viridiplantae; Streptophyta; Magnoliopsida; Malpighiales; Euphorbiaceae. The record is from RNAcentral.
GCACUUUUUGUUAACACUCUAAAAAGUUACAUACAGUCUUGACCCUUUUGGGCAAACCUAACCCCCCCAGCAACUCUUAACUGGUGGAAAACUAUCCAUCCACCUCAGAGAGUUUAAAUACAUGACAAAAAGUUUCUAAUAGUACAAAGGCCAAGAAAAAAGAAAGGUUGUUGCCCUACACUUCUUAAAUCUGCUCAUUGAACCUAAAAAGAGCUCACAGAUGUAUAGAAAACAAAUACAGCUUAGAGCAGAUGAAUCUCCUGACUUUUAUUAGUGAACGCCUAACUUCUUUGCAAAGUCGUCGUCGUCAUCAUCCAAGAAUUCAUCAUCAGGGUCACCUUCGUCGAAGUUGUAAUCUUCACCUUCAACCGGCUCAUAGUCAUCAUCAUGUCCAUCUCUCUGAUCAUAGCCUUUGUGGUCUUGGGUGCCUGCUCCUUCCACAACCAUCUCUUCUUCAGCUUCAAGUUCAUUUUCAGUGCGGUACAAAGGAGAUUGGUGAUCCGCUGAUUUGGGUACAAGCUUAGAAUCUUCCUUCUGAAUAGGAAGGUCAGACCCGUUCUUGGUAACAGAGGAAGGAAAAUCCACACUCCAUGAAGUCACGGAAGUCCUCUCCGUCUGGUGUUUUCUUUCAUGUUGAUCGUCUUCACUCCCACCAGAUGACAUGUUACCUUCACCCCCUCUUUUUCUCUUCAAAAUUUCUUUUAAAGGCAUUGGUCCUUCAAAUGAUAGAUCCUCCCCACCAUCAAGCUUUUGGAACUUCCGUUUUCUAGGGGGUUGUUGCUCAUUGCUCUCAGCAGUUUUCCUACCUUUAAGUUCUGCAAGACUUUUAGGACGCAGGAAGUCAGAAUUAUUGACAUUUAUUAUAUCUCUCCUUACAUGAGGAACUCUGUUGUUUCUGCCAUCACUAUUGAUAUCCUCUUGCAUUCUUCCCUUUAUUCUGUCUCGAGACCUUCCUUGGUAAGAGUACGGUUGUGGCCUUUCUGAAGACAAUCUGCCACGGUCUCUAGCCCUAUCCAACCGUAAAUCAGCCCUAUCAUCUGGAGAAGAUGAUCGAACUGGAAGCUUUAUUCUUCCUCGAAGGCGACCACCAUUAAGAGAACUAUCAUGUGAAGGUAAAUAGCGUGCAUCCCUCCUAGAGCUCUUGUUGGCUCGGCCUUCAACAUGCUUUUCACUUGAAAAGUCAUGACCAAUAACAGAUUUCAAACCGUUACCCCUCCUAUGCUUCGAUAACCGAUGCCUCAGAUCUGAUAUCUCAACAUGUUCAGGACUAUCUACUGUACCAUAUCGUCUCCUUUCAGAAUGAGCUGAGCCCCCUGGUAUUCUCUCAGAAGAAGCUAUAUGCUGCUCCCAAGCAUACUGACCCUGAAGCCUGUCAUACGAGUCAUAUUCACGCA